UUCGACUGGGAAUAAAAGGUACAUGUAAAUUGAACCCGGAAUGUUGAUUUAACGGCGUUUUCGGGAGAUGCAAAGGAUAUGAUUGGCGGGGGAGUUGUGACGUUCCCCGCCAAAAUCCCCGCCAAGUUUGGGCCGAUUGAGGGCUGAGUUGGCGGGGAUUUUUUU
RNAcentral lists this small RNA (165 nucleotides) under Lacticaseibacillus camelliae DSM 22697 = JCM 13995. RNAcentral's name for it is "Lactobacillus camelliae DSM 22697 = JCM 13995 Listeria sRNA rli38". It matches the Rfam family "Listeria sRNA rli38". Lineage: Bacteria; Bacillati; Bacillota; Bacilli; Lactobacillales; Lactobacillaceae. The record is from Rfam by way of RNAcentral.